Molecule: long non-coding RNA, 469 nt
Organism: Scleropages formosus (Asian bonytongue)
Lineage: Eukaryota; Metazoa; Chordata; Actinopteri; Osteoglossiformes; Osteoglossidae
Exons: 3
Source: RefSeq, a predicted model, not a curated record
AAAAAAAGUGCUAAGCACAUAGGGGCUAUGUGAACGGGAGGAGUCCUACUUCUACUUCUGUAGCGCUACACACACUGGACUCAAAAGUGCGUUUCUAAAGUGCCUCAUGCGCCCGCUUCUGUCCGUAGCAGCUUCCAGCCAGUGGAACAGCGCUGCGCUCGGUGACGUCCCAGUCGGUUUCCAUGGCAGCGGUUUCCAUGGACACGGGUACACAAAGCAAGAUGGCCGCUUUCCUCCAGUGGAGCUGUGAGGACGUGGCCCUGUGGGUGGAAUCCCUGGGUUAUCCGCAGUACAAGGCAUGUUUCGCUGAGAAUUUUAUAAAUGGAAGAAAACUGAUCUAUGUUAACUGUCACUAUCUACCAAGAAUUGGAAUCACCGAUUUUGAACAUAUGAAGGAUCUCUCUCAUCGCGUCCGGGAGCUCCUGAAUAUCGAAGAGCCUCUCUGGAACCGCAGCAUUGCGCUCCCCCG